GUCGACAGCCAUACCACCCUGAACAAGCCCGAUCCCGGCUGAUCUUGGAAGCUAAGCACGGUCGGGCCUGGUUAGUACUCGGUUGGGAGACCACCUAGGAAGAUCAGGUGCUGUAGGUG
RNAcentral lists this ribosomal RNA (119 nucleotides) under Pteropus alecto (black flying fox). The record is from RNAcentral. Lineage: Eukaryota; Metazoa; Chordata; Mammalia; Chiroptera; Pteropodidae.